Molecule: non-coding RNA, 32 nt
Filed under: Homo sapiens (human)
Lineage: Eukaryota; Metazoa; Chordata; Mammalia; Primates; Hominidae
Source: RNAcentral
UGCAAUGGUGAACCGUGUAGGCAAAGACCCCU